Molecule: long non-coding RNA, 2344 nt
Organism: Dermochelys coriacea (leatherback sea turtle)
Lineage: Eukaryota; Metazoa; Chordata; Testudines; Dermochelyidae
Exons: 3
Source: RefSeq, a predicted model, not a curated record
UUCCUUGCAGGGUAUGAGAGGCUGUAGUGGGAGGAAGGGAGAAGGGAAUGGGUUAACUCAAUGCUCCAGCUAGGUCCGAACAUAAGAUGCUGACUCCAGCCCAAGGCCACAGCACACAACCGACUCUCGGCUGCCUGCCAAGAAGGACGGGGGCCUGGAUUCCAACCCCAACCAGCCGUGAGAAAGGAGGAUUCAGCUGAAGAGAACUGCAGGGGCUGCGAAAACCAGUGAGACAGUGCAGGCCAGAGAGUGGGAAAACAACAGUCUUGCAUCCCUGAAGCCAGUGUGUUUUGGGAAAGCUGAGGAAGGUGUGGAAAGCCAGCUUGGACUGGUACAAAGAGCACAGGGGACAGAGGUCCCUGAACAAAACACCCCUAAAAAACCCCAGGAGUUAAAACCCUCCAGAGAGCUGAAGGAAAUUGGAGAUCAACAGCAGACCCUGGACAACCUGUGCACAGGACAGAAUUCUCUUCCACCCUUCCCCUUCUUCUUCUGAUGUUACACCCAGGGUUGGCCAGCCUCAGGUCAUGCGUGUAUAUAAAUAAAGCUUGGGAAAAAAUGUGACGUGUGGAUGAAGGAGGAAAAAUAACAGAUCCAGACACCCUGGUACCACUCAGUGGCAAUAGAUGCCAAACACAACAAAUAUGUUUUACAACAAGCCUGGAGCACUAACCACCUUUCUCAUGAAAGCUAUAUGAGAGUAUGGCAAGACCACUACGCUGAGCCAGGGGAAUAAGCUGAUUCCAAAAACUCACGCAUUGGCAUGAUGACAGAAUUGUGAUAGAUCUGCAAAGGGGGGACUACAACUCCCAUCAGCCCCUUCCCCACUGCACUUCCCUUACCCCUGGCCUGGAAAAGGGAAAGGUCCUGAACCAAGAAGUGGCCAGGGUCCGUUUGGAGACAUUGGCUGUAUGGCAAGUGAAGAGAUGGAGGGAAGGUGAAGCAGCAGUUGCAUGGCAAGCCAGGGGCUGGAAAGAAGCUGGAGACAGGAAGGGAUGCAGAGCUAUGUGUGGAACAGGCUCUGAGUGACAGACAUUAGUGGCAUGCACGUCAGUUGAGACUUAUGGGGAAGCUGCAGGACCUACUGAGUUCUGGGAGCCAGAGCAGAGACCCUAAAGAGAUUAACUGAGCCUGGCUUGGAAACCCACAAGCUCCAGUUUGAAUAGCAACUGGAUUGGAGAGGGCACUCCAGACACUAGCACUAAAGAGCCUGACUCUUGAUUGGAGUGUCCCCAGGGGCCCAAACAUUUACUGCUAUCACUCACUGUGAACUGUAAGUGUUUUAAGCCUCUGUAUCUAGGCUGUUCCUAACCUUUCCCUUUCCUACCAGCCCUAGCAAAAAAAAUUUUUCCAUUUAUCCUUGUAUCUGAAUGGUUAUUGGGAUCCACCAGGACUAGAACCUAAAGACCUAGUUACUGAAGCAUCUAGAGUGCUCAUGUGAGUUGUGGUGCAACUGGAACACUACUGGGACCCUAAUUGUUUAGUGUAUUCUGGCACAGAGGAGCAGCAGCAAUAAUGAGUUGCCAAAGAUUAGAACAUGGUGGAGAAGGGGGGGGUGGUGACUGUGGAUGUUUUUGCUGCCCUUUUUACCCUGCCAUUUGUUCCACCCAUGCCUCCUGCCUAAUUGUUCCCUUUGUAUCCUUCUCAUAGGCCCAUCUUUCUCUUAUGGUGCUCCUUACACCUCUAGAAUAUUCCAAAUAACCAUUGCUCUUCAUUCCACUCCCUCCUUAAAAUGUGCUGCUUCAUCCAAGCAUUUCAGUAAUUAUCUGUCAAACAAAUGUCUUCAAUACAAAACCCACCCACCAACAUUCUGAACCUUCAUCUGACAUACUGGUCUCAUUGUGGCCUAUUACAGUUGGCUAAAAUUUUUCUGUUGAAACUGGUUUUUGAUUAAACAAAUUUUGUGGGGAAAGUAUCUAUUUGCAGAAAACUUCCCUUUGUUAUGGACACCCCAAAAUUAAAAUUUCAGAUGAAAACAGAAUAUUGGGGUGUUUGGUCAUUUUUCAUAUUCAAAUUUCCACUAAAAAUUAAACACUUUUUGACCCGCUCUAGUCUGUAUUGCAUUGCAGACUAUACUACAACUAGUUCCUGAUAUAGCAGCAAGGAAAAUUUCCUAUACCUCUACAUCAUAUCUGGAGGAGCUAAGAUGCUAAGAUAUGCAGUCAUAGCAGCCUAGAGAGAGGGCAGCUGACCAGUGGCAAUGGAAAGGUGGAACCCAUCCUCUAUUGGGGAUUGUCAAAUUAGGAUGUGAUACUGUACCCCAUAUCAUGAUAUGAUGGCAUAAUCAUGAUGCGUUUUGUACAAGAUGUAUCGUGGCAAGUGUCUAUGGAAAAGUUGCUGAAUA